This 715-nucleotide ribosomal RNA is filed under the name bacterium IMCC8883. Its description in RNAcentral is "bacterial SSU rRNA". It matches the Rfam family "Bacterial small subunit ribosomal RNA", at positions 28 to 739 of the family's 1533-position model. The record is from RNAcentral.
AUUGAACGCUGGCGGCAGGCCUAACACAUGCAAGUCGAGCGCGAAAGUUUCUUCGGAAAUGAGUAGAGCGGCGGACGGGUGAGUAACGCGUAGGAAUCUGCCCAGUAGUGGGGGACAACAUGGGGAAACUCAUGCUAAUACCGCAUACGCCCUAAGGGGGAAAGCAGGGGAUCUUCGGACCUUGCGCUAUUGGAUGAGCCUGCGUCGGAUUAGCUAGAUGGUGGGGUAAUGGCCUACCAUGGCGACGAUCCGUAGCUGGUCUGAGAGGAUGAUCAGCCACACUGGGACUGAGACACGGCCCAGACUCCUACGGGAGGCAGCAGUGGGGAAUAUUGGACAAUGGGGGCAACCCUGAUCCAGCCAUGCCGCGUGUGUGAAGAAGGCCUUCGGGUUGUAAAGCACUUUCAGUAGGGAGGAAAAGUUGAUGGUUAAUACCCAUCGACCCUGACGUUACCUACAGAAGAAGCACCGGCAAACUCCGUGCCAGCAGCCGCGGUAAUACGGAGGGUGCGAGCGUUAAUCGGAAUUACUGGGCGUAAAGCGCGCGUAGGCGGUUUGAUAAGCUGGAUGUGAAAGCCCCGGGCUCAACCUGGGAAUUGCAUCCAGAACUGUCAGGCUAGAGUACAGUAGAGGUGAGUGGAAUUUCCUGUGUAGCGGUGAAAUGCGUAGAUAUAGGAAGGAACAUCAGUGGCGAAGGCGGCUCACUGGACUGAUA